Molecule: transfer RNA, 72 nt
Filed under: Diddensiella santjacobensis
Lineage: Eukaryota; Fungi; Ascomycota; Dipodascomycetes; Dipodascales; Trichomonascaceae
Description: tRNA-Thr
Rfam family: tRNA
About the family: Transfer RNA (tRNA) molecules are approximately 80 nucleotides in length.
Source: RNAcentral
GCUAGGUUAGCUUAACUGGUAGAGCAUAUGUUUUGUACUCAUAAUAUAGUAGUUCGAGACUACUACUUGGCA